This 76-nucleotide transfer RNA is filed under the name Flavobacterium aurantiibacter. RNAcentral's name for it is "tRNA-His". It matches the Rfam family "tRNA". Rfam says of the family: Transfer RNA (tRNA) molecules are approximately 80 nucleotides in length. Their secondary structure includes four short double-helical elements and three loops (D, anti-codon, and T loops). Further hydrogen bonds mediate the characteristic L-shaped molecular structure. tRNAs have two regions of fundamental functional importance: the anti-codon, which is responsible for specific mRNA codon recognition, and the 3' end, to which the tRNAs corresponding amino acid is attached (by aminoacyl-tRNA synthetases). tRNAs cope with the degeneracy of the genetic code in two manners: having more than one tRNA (with a specific anti-codon) for a particular amino acid; and 'wobble' base-pairing, i.e. permitting non-standard base-pairing at the 3rd anti-codon position. Lineage: Bacteria; Pseudomonadati; Bacteroidota; Flavobacteriia; Flavobacteriales; Flavobacteriaceae. The record is from RNAcentral.
GUGGUUGUAGCUCAGUUGGUCAGAGCAUCGGUUUGUGGUGCCGAGGGUCGUGGGUUCGAGCCCCAUCAGCCACCCA